CCAACCAAACUGACUUCACAUGACACGACACGAAAAUCCAACUAAAUUGAAAAAUAACUCACCAUCAAAACAUUUGUAGAACUCAGAAGCACUUCCUGUGGACAAUGGAUGGACCAGACUCAUCGUACUCACCCUUGGAAAUCCACAUCUAAUCCAUUGCAAGAAAAGAAAAAAAAGCAUAUCAGUCUCAAGCAAAAACUAUACAUAGCAUAGGAAUAAUAAAAAAUGAAGGAAAGGAAAUCAUAAACAAAUAAGAGACACGACAAUGAUAAUCACCUGCUGGAAGGUACUGAGGGAUGCAAGGAUGGACCCUCCAAUCCAGACACUGUACUUUCUCUCUGGUGGAGCCACAACCUUAAUCUUCAUGCUGCUUGGAGCAAGAGCAGUAAUCUCCUUGCUCAUCCUGUCUGCAAUACCGGGGAACAUAGUUGACCCACCACUGAGCACAAUGUUUCCAUAUAGGUCUUUCCUAAUAUCCACAUCACACUUCAUGAUAGAGUUGUAGGUAGUCUCAUGAAUUCCAGCAGCUUCCAUUCCAAUGAGUGAUGGUUGGAAGAGAACUUCUGGGCACCGGAAUCUCUCAGCUCCAAUUGUGAUUACUUGGCCAUCGGGAAGCUCAUAGUUCUUCUCUACUGAAGAGCUGCUCUUAGCAGUCUCAAGUUCUUGCUCAUA
Molecule: long non-coding RNA, 672 nt
Filed under: Prunus persica (peach)
Lineage: Eukaryota; Viridiplantae; Streptophyta; Magnoliopsida; Rosales; Rosaceae
Description: long non-coding RNA (PPER_LNC006165)
Source: RNAcentral